AAUCAACGCUGGCGGCGUGCCUAACACAUGCAAGUCGAACGAGAAAGUGACUUCGGUCACUGGAAAGUGGCGUCCGGGUGAGUAACACGUGGGUAAUCUACCCUCGGGUGGGGAAUAACGGAUCGAAAGAUUCGCUAAUACCGCAUAAUGCAGCGGCACCUAAUGGUGAAUAGUUGUUAAAGCGGGGGAUCGCAAGACCUCGCGCCUGAAGAGGAGCCUGCGGCAGANAGCUAGUUGGUGAGGUAAUGGCUCACCAAGGCUUCGAUCUGUAGCUGGUCUGAGAGGACGGCCAGCCACACUGGCACUGACACACGGGCCAGACUCCUACGGGAGGCAGCAGUGGGAAUUUUGGGCAAUGGGCGAAAGCCUGACCCAGCAACGCCGCGUGAGGGAGGAAAUCCUUCGGGAUGUAACCUCACAAGCAAGGGAAGAGAGCUGCGGGCUGAAUAAUCCUGCAGUGCGACGGUACC
Molecule: ribosomal RNA, 470 nt
Filed under: uncultured bacterium
Lineage: Bacteria
Description: bacterial SSU rRNA
Rfam family: Bacterial small subunit ribosomal RNA
Source: RNAcentral